AUAACUUGGAUAACGGUUUAUCAAAAUUGCAAACAAAGAAAUAUAAAUGAGAUUACUAUGUAAGAACAUAUGUAAGUAGGAAGUAAACACUGGUCCAAUAGUCGACUAUAGAUAUUGCUUCUAUAGGUCUCAAAAGUGAAGCAUAAUUAUAUAUGCGAAAAUCAUUUUCGGAGACCACAUGUACAGAGCGAUACAAAUUAGUAUAGAAAUUUAUGGCAACAAUGUGAACCAUCGUAAAAGUUGACAAAUUUGAAUACUUGACUGCAAAUAACAUUAAUAAUUCAUAAACCUUGUGGCAAAUCAUGUCAGCCAUAUUAUGUCUCGU
Non-coding RNA from Paramuricea clavata, 325 nucleotides. The record is from the annotation of a GenBank genome assembly. NCBI's taxonomy places the organism in Eukaryota, Metazoa, Cnidaria, Anthozoa, Malacalcyonacea, Plexauridae.